Molecule: long non-coding RNA, 3777 nt
Organism: Gasterosteus aculeatus aculeatus (three-spined stickleback)
Lineage: Eukaryota; Metazoa; Chordata; Actinopteri; Perciformes; Gasterosteidae
Source: Ensembl
CUUACAGUGUGGCCUAUUGAGGCCGCGUGCUUUGGCCUACAUCCUCAUUUCAUACGCUGUGAGGCUGUGUGAAAAGAUAAGGUGGUGUCUGUCUUUCUUGUGUCUCCAUUUUAUGGACUGCUGCAUCUCAAAUCUCCACGCGUCGGGAGAAACACACACAAAGAGGCCCACAUGUAUACAAGCGGGUUACCGCAGGCGGAAAAAACGAAAAGACAAGAGGCGCUGGGGGCGCGUGCAGCCGGUAUAGAUCGCUGGCCUCCAUAUUCGGUUGUGAUUUAUGAUCGCUCUUCAGCAGAGGCCACAGUCAUUUGGGAGAUGAUGGCCGUAUCGAUCCGGUAAACAGUUUCAUUUGCAGCCGGAGCCACGCCGCUCAAACUCACACGCGCGCUCACAGCCACAGCGCGAACGCACGCGUACAGUAGAUUCACAGCAGGAACAACCCUGGCUCUCCGCUCCACCAGUUCCCCACCUCCUCCACGUCUGCUUUUCUCUAUUCCUCUCCUCCUCCCCCCCCUCCCCAGGCCACCUCACCCUCUCUCGACGCUUUAACCCGUUCCUCUUCUGCCCUCCUUCUUUCCGCCAGCGUCCUCUGCCAGUCACCUGCUUCUCUAAAAAUAUUCUCCCCCAUGCACAGCGUGGCCUCUUUGUUUCUUCACUCCGUCCUAAGGUUCCCGUCAUGCGUUGAAACAGUGACACAUUAAUGGUGAGACUAUAACCGAAGUGGGUCGACAUCCACGGUCAUAGUUUUAAAGGCCGGUGAUGUCAGGUUUCUUCGGUUUCCCGGUAAGAUAAAGUGCUUGAAGAAUCCCCCCAACGAUGCACGGCCAGUAAACACGGCGCAAGGAGGGACUCAUGUGCAAAACAAUGCGGAAUUCAUUUCAUUUAAAAACUUUGAUCCUAAGAAGGACUUCAUCUUUUACUGUCCAUGCAAACGCUUCCUGCUUUCACCAAAAUAAAAGCACAUUUGCAUCGUGUUACUACAACGCAGGGGGAAUAGUGAGCUAUGGCGGCUGGUGCAGCAAUAGUCAGGAAAAAAGCCCAAAAGUCACUGAUUGUCACUGUAAAUUGCGGAUGCCAUUUCUAGCCACGUUAAUAAAGAGCUGGGCCGUUUCAUGUGUUAAAUAUCACACACUGUCCUUGUAGCAAUGAUGGACUGCCGUCAAAACAGCCUUUUUUUUAAUGGUACAUUAUAUUCUUUAGUUUGAUCUUUUAAUAACGAUGUCAGGAAUUAAUCCGGCAUUCGAAAGAAGAAUGUUUCCAGAGUUUGACUGCUGUUUAAUUGGUGUGAUGGGUCAAACCGCCUUAAUUAGCCCUUCUGGUAACUAUAAUUAGCAAAGAGUCAUAGUGUCUGAUGAAGCCCUCAAUGUUCAUUCAAAGGCCUCAAAAGAAUAACGGUGAACCGACUCGACAAACUUAUGCUUUUUUAGAAUAAAAAUGUCCAAAUCAAAAGAUGUAUUGAAUAUGAAUCAUAAACAUCUGUUGAACCCGACGUGUCCUUCUGUGUUUGUGUGUGUGUAAGUGUGUAUCAUUUGUAUACAGAUAACGUUGGAGGAGUAGAACUACACACACCAACAUAUUCCUACACACACAUGUACACUAGAAGGCUUUCAGUUUCUAAAUCAAUCCCACAUCCGUAGCUAAUGCAGUGCCGGGCCCUCUUCAGGAAGCAUUAGGCCUAUUAGUCAAAGUGCGUACGCAUUCCUGUGUGUGUGUAUGCGUGUGUGUAUGCUGGAGUGUGUGUGGAAGCCGCACACUCAGCAGUAGCCGAUCUCAGUGGAUCCUGUGGGGUCAGCAGGUGCAACAGGGAAUGAGGGACCAUCUUAUUGUGUACGUGUGUGUGUACGCGCGUGUGUGUGUGUGUGUGUGCGCGCGUGUGUGUUCCCUCCCCUUGAUAUCCGCUAGGCUCUUUAUCGCUCUAAAAUUAUCCUCCACUUACUGGAAGACACUGGGCGAACUGAGAGGAGAGAGAAAUAUGGCCACUCUAGUUUGAAUGCCUUCCUGGAUCACUUAUGCUCGCCAAACUAAGAGACAAACAGACUUCUUGCUCCGCCAGAAUGAUCUAAUUUAAUAAGUUCGGAAAGGUUAAGAAGUCAAGAGUCAGACGAGGCCUCGGGCGAACCGGAGGAGAUAUUUUAGAUUUGUGAAAAGCAAAACAUCUGGGUCGCUGGUGGGACAUCAUCAGUACCAAAGCUGAACUUAUAACAGGUUACGGCAUCGAAGGCUUCUUCGUGAAUCCCAUGUGGCCCCUUUUGUCAACUAUUAAACCAGAACUCAAAAUCAAUCAAUCAAUCAAUGGCAAUCCCAUAGAAUCAACAGCAGUCGAUGAAUCUUUUAAAUCUGGCUUAAGAAGCCCUUUGCACAAUAGUGAUUUUGUAGGAAUUUCUUUUAGUGGAAAGUUUAGGGUUUUAUGAAAGUUCUGUCCUGAGAGAAAUCUCCACCCAACCACAAGUUUCUACUUACUGUACUUUUUGCACGAGGAAUAUUUAUUUUAGAAGCUGGCGUCAGCCUUCAAAAACCCAUAAGCUUACAUCACUACACUCUUGAAUGACAUGCUUUCAUCUUACACAUGGCCCUCCAUUUUGCCUUUUAUCUCUUCCCACAUGGCCUCCUCCUCCUCCUGCUGCUGUUGCUCACUGUAUCUGUCCCCUGAGCAUUCUCACAUCGCGAGGUGGAUCAAGUCCCUGCAUCAUCGUGUGAACAUGCACGCUCACAGGGUACAUAGUUGCUCCAUGUAUAGAAUUACAUUUUGCAUUAAAAGCGAAAAGAUUCCAAAUUAGUCAUUAUUUCCAAAUAAACUCAAGUGUGUGUGCUCGGGAUGGAGGCCGGAGGGAAUAUCAGGGAAACCCAUAUAAAUAAAAGCCUUCACCAAUGCCACCAGUAAGUACUCAGAUAUGUGCAGACAGGCCCAGCUAACAGACCCGGAAAGAUGCUGAGGAUAGAAGUUGGGGUAGUGGAUGGAGAGAGUUGGUGGAAAAGUGAAACGGAGGAGAGGAAGGAGGAAACUAGAGGAGAAAGCGAGACGGUGAGGCUGGCCAUUAUAAAUCAUACCCGCUGUUGGCGCCGGCGACGUAUCCUAGCAACCAGACAGACCCAUACUCCUCCCCUCCAUCCCCUCUUCAUCCGACGCUCAGAGCUCGGUUACUUUUAUAACCCACGCUGCACUGGGCCAUGCCCCAAAAACUCAUGACAGAGUGCAGUUUGUGCUCACAGCUGAAUUCCUUAUCUACUGUAUUAACCCCGUGCUAAUCAAAUGUGACGCUAGCUGACCUCUGGGAGCAGACAAAUGGACACACUGCAGACCAGGUCACAAAUACACACAAGGAUAGAAAAUAUAGCAGGGACGUGUUCAGAGACUCUGCUCUGGCGCACCGCUCAGACACAAUGAUACAGCUGACAUAUAUCACUAUGAUACAACAUUCAUUGCGAUCAACUUUUUACUGAGUAUGCAACAGAUCCGGGACCUGUGAGGUGUGAACAAUUAGAAUAACGAUGCAUUGUUUGCAUUAAGCUCCUCGGCUCUUCACAGCGACAUUCUGUCGGAUGUCUACGGCUGCUGAGAAAAGGGCGUCCUGUGCGCGGAGAGACUCUCUCGGGCGGAACGGAGCAUUCGCUGAUGUUUUCUGUCCUUUUUUUCUGCCGUGACACGUCGGCGUGGCUGCUGUGACGAGGGGAUUUAUGUGACUACAAGAAAUGAUGCAAUGUUCACAAGGAGAGACGUCGAGCAAACUGCAACGUUGGGAGGUCACUUUCCACCCAGCUUAAAGGAACAGAGUGUAG